RNAcentral lists this unclassified non-coding RNA (789 nucleotides) under Hevea brasiliensis (rubber tree). Lineage: Eukaryota; Viridiplantae; Streptophyta; Magnoliopsida; Malpighiales; Euphorbiaceae. The record is from RNAcentral.
GUAACAUAAAACUUCUUCCUCCACAGUUACACUUGAAAAUAAGAACUUAGACAACUCAUACAAUAGCUUUAAAAGAAAACAAAAAAGGCGCGAGGACGAUACAGGCAAAUGCUCUACAGAAAACAAAUAGACAACAGAAGACAUACUCUACAACACACUUUUCCUAACAACUAAAACUAGAAUCGAACUCACAAAAAGCUUCUUUACAUGGCUGCCAAAAGAUCGCGCAUUUCUGAAACAGAUGGGACGUUCUCGCUGGGGUAUAUCUUGGCUACAAGCUGAGCAAAACUUUCGUACUUGUCCAAGAACUCUUUCUUGCAUUUAUCCCAUAAUGAAGGCAGCAACUCCUCUGAGGUCAAGUUUUUCUGCAAUCUCUUAUACAUUGCACUGAUGGACUUAUCUGCCCCAGAUAAACUGGAUUUUACCACCUUCCGAAGAUCCAUCUUUGACAGCCCAAGUUGGAAGGGAAUCUCUUCAGGCGGGAUUGUGUACAUCAAAUCCUCGAUUCUUCGAACAAACUGAAAAAGUCGCUCAAAUUGAUAGAAUAUAAUCACAUUGAUAUGGCGUGUGCAAGCUUGUUCAUAAGAUUCACUGGCUUCAUGAUAGAAUUUUGCUAAUGUUGGCACCAUAUUAGCCAGUUCAUAAAGACUAUUCUGGAAUGCUGCAUAGUUUUCUAAAAGCAUAAUGUCUUCAUAUUUUGGGUCUGCUUUAGCAAUUUUAUCCAAAGUAAGGAACAUUGUAGUGACAAACUUAGCGUACGCCUGGUCAACCAAAUCCCUUGAUUGUCCU